UAACAACGUAUAACCUGAGAUGCUGAUGAAGUUGUCGAAGACUAUCAAGGCUUUAUUUUACUUUUUGAUUUCCUCUUUUUAUUCCCUGUAGAUAAGAUGCUUUCAGGUGUGUCACAGGUAAUAGCAAAGUGCAGUAUAAUGUACUAAAUUUGAGAAACACUCAUUAAAAGAUAAUUUCUCAAACACAUUUCCUGUUAUACCUAUUGCAUAAAGGGAAGGAUAUGGCAAGCAAAUUGAGGGCCUCCCCCCCCUUGGAUCCGUCAGUGGCCGUUUCUCAGGUUUGUCACUGGUUUUCACACUCCAGUGAGUCUCCGCCUAGCUAUAAAUACGCAGGGUUGAGUUUCGAACCCUGACCCGGGGUAAUUGGAACGCACUUCACCCAGCCAAACGUUUAUCCUCCCUUCUGACUGGCCGAUAGGUUGGUACUUGGGGAAACCCGGGGGAAGGUAAAUUGUAAUAACCCGGGUGUUACACUAGUGUCUCUGGGUAAUGGGUUCUUGUCCACAACUGUCUCAAAGGCCAUCGAGACAUGGACAUCGAGGCCGCACACAGCUAUUGGUACCAGGUCAGCUGCUAUAGACAUGAAACUCAAUUUCCCAUACCUUGGACAGCGACCCAGAUGAAACCAUUCCAACACAGAAAUGAUCACUGACCUACACACCAACAAACUAUAAUUCAUCGUAAGAUUGUCUUCAUAAUAGUGUAAGAAAACUGUUGUAACUCUCAGCCUCUAAAUACAAACUGCCAACUUCAAUACAUUACCUAUAAUAUUAUGUUUUCUUAAUACUUAUUAAAUUUGUAGGAAAUCUACAAAAUGUUGGCCUUAUAGCAAAGCUUCCUCCUCACAGACACACUACAUUUGAUGGCCCUCAGGUGUUGACGUGCACAGGCUGUGUUUCUGGUGUGGGCACGUCCGGACACAGCUGCUUGCCUCCACCAUCAUCACCGCCACAGACCUAAUACAAGGAUUUCCUCUCUUGUUAGUUUGAUGUAAAAGUGCACUUUGAUCACAGGUGAAUUAUAAUACCAAAGAAGUUAAAAUGUUAAGAGUACAGCUUAGAAAAUAAAUUUCUCACUUUACAAACAAUCAAUCACAUAUGCAACAGAUGCACCAGAAAUAUUUCACCGUACUAAUCAAACUAAUAGAUUGAAGCUGUAGAACAUAGCAAAUACAUAUAUGUAUCAUGAGUAGCUAGGAACAGCAUGGUCUUCAUGUACAUAUCAAAGGUAUGUCAACAGAUAACCAGUGUCAUGGGAGGAGUAUAAUGUAUACUGCAUCCAAAUAAAUAAAAUGAACAGGGAAAGUUUGUUCUACAAGCUAUAGGAUAUUUAACAUUUAAAUAAUAUGGUGACAUAAUUACAGUUACAACGCAGCAAUGAACAUGAGAUUUUAUGAAAAUAGAUAAUAUAUAUACUCAAAAUGGUAAAUAUAGCUUGAUGCAGUGUUAAGACAUUUCAUGAAAUACUACAUGAAGUAGAAGACAACUCUGGUUUGUAGAUAUGUAUAUAUCUACAUAUACAAGUGACUGCACUGAACACACAUGUACACCAAAAAGAGCUAUAUUUACAUUAACGAUAUUAAAAUGACCUGAAAUUUGAAAGCCUGGUGUUUAGUAGACUACCAACAGUGGGUAAAAAAUGUAAAAUCUAUCUGUCACUUCCUAGAAAAAUCUGUUUUCCUAACUAUGCUAAAACUGAUGACUAAUGGAAGAUUUUCCCAUAUAGGUUUUUCAAUUCCAGUGAUAAUUUUGUGGUCCCCAAACCAUCCAGGCAUCAUUUUAUAAACUGCAAUACAUUAUAAUAUUCAACAAGACUGAAUAAAAAAAAAUUCAAUAUUCUAUAUAGCAAAUGAAGCAUGCCAUUAAAAUUGCAGAGUACUAGGCAGCUGUUUUAGGGGACAGUUUCAUGAGUUGAAAAUAAAAUUGAAGAAUAAUUUUAUACAAGUAGACGACUUCAGGAUUUAGCAAUUAUAUAAGAUGGAAUGUAACAAUCACAACUUUUAUCUUGUAUAACCUAAAUGAAUAAGUCAAGAUAUAAAACAACAAUCACUGAGAAUAUCAAACAAAAGGGGAUGAUUAAUUUUUCAUAUCAAAUAUGGAUAUAGGAACAUCCCAUGUACUCUUCAAAGUUAAAUAGCAUGCUCUUUGAUAGAGCAAAAAGAUAUAGGCAAUUUACAAAAUGUAAUCUGACAAGAAUGGAUGGAUUUAAGGAGACGUGAGAUUAUUUUCAUACCACACUUUUAAUUGCCCUGCCUUUAGUUUCUUGAUCUGCCAUAAAAAAUGUUGACAAUUAGUGCUAAAAGAUUAAAAAAAUAAACUAUGAAUUCCACCUAUUACUGACCCAAAGUUCAAAACUCAGCUUUACUCAUGAAUCCCUUUCCUCUAUCACCUUAACUUUUCAGCUACUCAGAUUAGCAAGUUGAAAAAAAAAAAAAAAAAAAAAAAAAAAACAUCUUUAGCUUUAAUCUUUAAAAUCAAAA
Eriocheir sinensis (Chinese mitten crab) is the source of this 2479-nucleotide long non-coding RNA. RefSeq lists it as uncharacterized. The transcript has 2 exons. NCBI's taxonomy places the organism in Eukaryota, Metazoa, Arthropoda, Malacostraca, Decapoda, Varunidae. The record is from RefSeq and is a predicted model, not a curated record.